Leopardus geoffroyi (Geoffroy's cat) is the source of this 4815-nucleotide long non-coding RNA. RefSeq lists it as uncharacterized. The record is from RefSeq and is a predicted model, not a curated record. NCBI's taxonomy places the organism in Eukaryota, Metazoa, Chordata, Mammalia, Carnivora, Felidae. The transcript is spliced from 7 exons.
AGUGUGCUCUUAGUUUUGGGGGUAGAUUCCUGUGGUUCAUCACUUACAUACAAUACCUAGUGCUCAUCCCAACAAAAAAAUGCUAUUUUAAAAAGCUGGUUGCUUUUUGAGUUGGAAUCUAAGGACAAUAAAAUUAGAGUCUUUUUCUUUCUUGGGGUAUUUUGUUUUUUUUUUUUUUCUUUUUCGGUUUGGUCAAGGUAAAGGGCUAAUUGAGAUACGAGUGGUUAGGACCUGGGGACUAAAAUUGCUCUGCAUAAAGAAAUAAGAACUUUUUGUUUUUAAUUGAGGCUGGAGGGAAAUUUUUUUAUUUUGCUUUUGUUUGGGCAGGAGUGGUGAGAGAGUGGGCCCUAGCAGUAGGGUAGACAUGAGAAGUUGCUCCUCCAGUGGCGAGAAGGAAGGGGGCGUGAGCUUUGAUGUCUGAUUGUCUAUUUUAAGUAGUUUCCUAUUCGCCAUUAGAAUCUUUCUCUGGUAAAGAUGUGCUCGCAUGACACCCAGAUGUUCAUGUGUUUUGGAGACUGAAUAGAGAGGGCUGCAUCAGCAGUAGGGGUGAAGUGAAAUAGAAGGGAGAUGAUGAGAAUUGGGUUGCAGUUGGGGUUUAGGAUCAAAAGUAACAAGGAAUCAUUGGGCACUUUUUAGCACCCUCCCUAGGAUCCUUGAAAUCAUUAAGGAGAGGGCUGGGUCCCAACAGUUAUGUGAGAUCUGGUCUAAAAUAGGCAUUUGAAUGUUAAAUGAAAGAUAGUAUACUUUGGGAGCAUGCAGAUGUCAGGGAGAAUAAUCUACUGACCAGGGUUGGAAGGUGUAAAUGUGGAUGUAGGUGAAGGCACUUCAUAAACUAGGGAAACACAUGAUCUUACACAAGAUAAAACGUCUUUCCAUGAAGAAUAUUUUGAAGUCAUAUUUGAAUUCAACACUGAUCAUGAAUAUAAGAAUAAUUAUCUGGAAGUCAUGAGCUAUGAUAGUUUUCUUUCUGUGUGAAGUCAGUUCAGACUGAUAGUUAAAACACAAUUUGGAUGUUAGAGAUACAAUUUGAAAAAAUGGCUCCAUGUGACCCAGUGUUUCAUGUUAAGAUGUGAGAUUUAGGAUCCCAUGGUAUAUCAGGCCCAUUUAGUGGGAACAGAAAGCAGCUUUGGUCAUUUAAUAUUUAGCUGAGACUAUGGAUAGGUAUGAGAAAAAGGAAGUGAUGAUGUUGCAAAGCAACGGGAAAGAGCAUGUAUAGGAUAUAUAUACUAGACACUCAACAUAUAUUGUCUUUACUGCUCAUUCUUGUCCAAAGAAGUGGUGAUACGUCCAUUCUUUAGAUGGGGGUGGGGGAAAGGUGACAUUUACACUGAUGGAAGGAUUUGCUCCAAGUUAUAGCGCUGAAGUGGCAGAACUCCUGCAGACUGUCACCAAGGUCAAGGUCCUUGUUAUGUUCAUCUCACCAUGCUGCCAUGUGGGCUCUGAAUACAUCAGUUCUUAGCCUCCAAGCCUUGUGUGCUUCCAGACUCCUUGUCCCCGUUUCACACCACAUCUCCAUUAUUUUUCUUCAUGAGAAUUUUUAAAGAAGGCUUCUGACAAGACUUGAUGAGAUGCUACAGCUGACAAGCAUGUGAAAAAGGAUGAAAUAACUUGAGGUCUGGAGUGAACAGUUACAUUCCUGGAUUGUUGAAAGGCCCAUUCUUUACAUGGGAUCAACCAUCUUUGGUGAGGCUGGGUGGAUGAUGCAGUUUCACUUCUAGGUGUUAGGAUUCUCUUUCACACUGGUUUGUCAUGACCUUAAAGUAUUUUAAGUUUCUCCUUUGCUUUGUGUUCACGCCCAAACUCCAAGGGUAGGAUCUACCACAUAGAGGGUGGAGUGGCAUUCCAAUUCCAUUUAUUUUCUGCUGAAGCUGGCACGUUGAAUGAAGAUUUAUAUCUUAAGUGACAGGAUUCAGACGAAACACGACAAACCUGUAAAAUCUGCAACGUGGACGUGUCAAUGCAGAACUUUCCGAUGAACUGGAUGGGACCAGGAAGACAAACCACACACACUGUCACGUUGUGCUGGGCAGCAUGACAGAUCAAAGAGAAUCCCAAGGAAGAGCAAGUCCUUGCUGGCUGCAGUGCACGUGGUGGGGGGUUCAGCACAGACUGCUGUUUGGUUUACGGAUUCAGGUGUGUGUCUAUCUUGGGCCUGCCUUUUUAUGGAAAAAUUUUGUGGAGAUACACUGCACUGACUGGAAAAUUAUUCACUUGUUUUUUAAUCAAAUUUAUCGAGUGGAAGCAUUGGUUAUGAAACUAGUCAUUUCACUGGACUUUAAUCCUGACCUAGUUGCCAACAUGGGGUGGUAAUUAUUCUUAUUUACCAAAGCAUAGAGAGAAUCUGUGUUAAAAGAGCAACCUAGGCAGGCACUGCUUUGAGGAGGGAACAAGUUUUACCACCUUAGGAGAGAUGAAUUAGUUUUGUGAAACAUCUCUGUCUUGCUGAAGGACUCCAACCACUGGAUAUGAAUGGAAGCGUGAGGCAACUUUGUACUGCAGACAGCAAGUUAAAGCCCUCCGCCCCCCCACGCCCAGGAAAGCUCAGGAGUCAGGGGCCUCAGCGGAGCACACUCCUGACUUUACCACUGUGUGCCAUGGUGCUCCUGACAGCCUGGUUGGCCGUCACUCAUCUAGAAGAAUGAAUGAACCUCGUAUUAAGCGCUCCUUGCUGUUGGUUCAAGUAGAUCUCCUCAGAGUUCUCACUAAUCAGAGCAAAGAUGAGGAGAACAGAUAUGUGAAAACAUUUAAGCUUGGCAUUGCCACUGAAAGGCAGCUAAGGUUCCCACCGUCUUUGGCAGAUUUGAUUCCUGGACUCCCACAGAAGGAUUUCAGAGAAGUCUUUGAACAAAUGCAAGAGGCACAAACUUCACCUAACAACUGUUUACUGAACAUGUGUAACUUCUGUGCCUGGCAUAGGGCUGAGUGCUGAGGGUCUGAAGCAAGACAGGUCCCUGCCCCCAAGGUGCUGUAGUGCACAGCCUGCAGUCACGGGGCAGGUCUUAGGGCAUGGUUCUUCACUUGUGAGGGACUCCAGAGCUGUGAGUGCCUAAUGAGAACCUGCUGAUCAAGUGAACGGGGCUGACCAGUAUCAGGAUGGCUGCUACUGGCAUCUGUGCAACUCGUCUCCACGGUGAAGAAGAUGAUGGACUCAGAUCCUCUUUGUUUUUGCUCUAUUUGUGCUUCUGUACAUGAGAUACCGGUAACUCUGGAGCAUGAAGGCCUUUCCCAAGGAGUACAUAAAGCCACAGACAGAAAAGAAUGCAUCUUUCUUAGAAUGUCCAUAUCAUUCAAUGAUGAAUUAUGGAAAAGACUUUUAUAUUGAACUCCAAAUAUGCCCUGCGACAUAACAUGAAAUUAAAUCAAAAUUUCAAAAUAAAAUCUAAGAUUUUAAAGAAGUGUCAUAUUUGCCGCCUAAGGCCACUUUGGGCCAUGUGCCCUGAUCCCAGGGAUAAACCUUCAUUCUGCAUCUCAGGAGAAUCCUUCAUUGUAGAGCUAGGACAAGGAUUUCCUGGUCUAGAUAGUGACUGGUUACCUACCACCUUACAGGCUCUCCCUCGAUGCCUUCCUCCAACUCUACUAUCUAACAAUGAAGUCUAACGUGGGGGAAUCCCACUAAAAUCCUAAACCAGAGGAAACAAGGUCAACUGCAGGAAUUCAGGCACUGUCUGCCCCGGUCCUUCUACAAUCCAGCCCGUGCAGUUCCCGUCACAGCAAGUGCUUCCUCUGUCAGAGCAGACAAACUGACUGAAGCCACAGCCGGAAGCACGCUGACCACAAGUGCUAAAGUUCUGGUUCAACUGAAGAGGCUGUUCUAAGAAAGACUACUGAGGUAAUCAGUCACCUUCCUCAGAGAAAGUCUGCUCAGGUAGUCUUGUUUAGUUUACCACGUAAACAAUGGAACAUUUACUGUUGAAUCCUUUAUUCUUUUAUAGCCUGAUGGGAGACUUGACAUUUUUUGGUGGGGGCAUGACGGACAAAGAGACCUGGGACUUCUCUUUCCUUCAUAGUCCCCUCUGAGGAGAUCAAAGAAGGUAAACACUGUCCUUUCGAUCAGACGGCAAGUGUGUUUCUGACACACCAGGGUUUCCCAGAAUGCCUAGGGACACCCGGGAUGAGAGCGCAGAGGAGGCAGGGGAGGACUGAAGAUCAUCCUUUAACUUUCCCAAAGCAGGAAUAUAGGACACUUAAUAAACCUUAAAUCACUUGCCCCUUUUGUAGGGAGGGGUGAUUAUUUUUUACUGAACGGGACUAAAAUAAUCCGUAGAGCUCACUUUUUUAAGAUCACAGCAAAAAAUAGAACCCCAAAUCUGUUGCUUUCGGUGAACAACGGUGAUAAUGAUCUCUAUGCUCAGUGACUCUAAAAGCUAUUUAUAGCAAUUAUUAUACAUUCAGAAAAAACUAAACUAAAAAAUGGAUCCCAGGUAUGGACAUGGUAAAAAAAUCAUGGGGUUGGGGAGAGGGAGGGAUGAAUACAUAGGGGGAGCACAGAGGCUUUUUAGAGCAGUGAAGCUAUUCUGUUUGCUGCUGUAAUGGUGGAUACAUGGCAUUAUACAUGUGUCAAAACCUAUAGAAGGUAUAACACCAAGAGUGAAUCCUAAUGUAAAUUCUGGUCUGUAGCUAAUAAUAAUGUGUCAUCUUGGUUCAUCAGUGGAAACAAACAUACCACAGUAAUGCAACAUGUUAAUAACAGGAGAAACUGGGUGGGAGUGAGGCAGGGAGGGGCGAGUGUACAGGAACUCUGUGCUUUCUGCUCUGUUUUUAUGUAAACCUAAAAGUGCUGUAAAAAAUAAAGUCUAUUAAAAACAAUAGAUCCCA